RNAcentral lists this transfer RNA (77 nucleotides) under Alteribacter lacisalsi. RNAcentral's name for it is "Bacillus sp. YSP-3 tRNA-His". It matches the Rfam family "tRNA". From Rfam's summary of the family: Transfer RNA (tRNA) molecules are approximately 80 nucleotides in length. The record is from RNAcentral. Lineage: Bacteria; Bacillati; Bacillota; Bacilli; Caryophanales; Bacillaceae.
GCGGCCGUGGCGAAGUCGGUUAACGCACCGGAUUGUGGCUCCGGCAUGCAUGGGUUCGAAUCCCAUCGGUCGCCCCA